GUGGCGAACGGGUGAGUAACACGUGGGUAACCUGCCCAUCAGAAGGGGAUAACACUUGGAAACAGGUGCUAAUACCGUAUAACAAUCGAAACCGCAUGGUUUUGAUUUGAAAGGCGCUUUCGGGUGUCGCUGAUGGAUGGACCCGCGGUGCAUUAGCUAGUUGGUGAGGUAACGGCUCACCAAGGCCACGAUGCAUAGCCGACCUGAGAGGGUGAUCGGCCACAUUGGGACUGAGACACGGCCCAAACUCCUACGGGAGGCAGCAGUAGGGAAUCUUCGGCAAUGGACGAAAGUCUGACCGAGCAACGCCGCGUGAGUGAAGAAGGUUUUCGGAUCGUAAAACUCUGUUGUUAGAGAAGAACAAGGAUGAGAGUAACUGUUCAUCCCUUGACGGUAUCUAACCAGAAAGCCACGGCUAACUACGUGCCAGCAGCCGCGGUAAUACGUAGGUGGCAAGCGUUGUCCGGAUUUAUUGGGCGUAAAGCGAGCGCAGGCGGUUUCUUAAGUCUGAUGUGAAAGCCCCCGGCUCAACCGGGGAGGGUCAUUGGAAACUGGGAGACUUGAGUGCAGAAGAGGAGAGUGGAAUUCCAUGUGUAGCGGUGAAUGCGUAGAUAUAUGGAGGAACACCAGUGGCGAAG
Molecule: ribosomal RNA, 638 nt
Filed under: uncultured Bacilli bacterium
Lineage: Bacteria; Bacillati; Bacillota; Bacilli
Description: bacterial SSU rRNA
Rfam family: Bacterial small subunit ribosomal RNA
Source: RNAcentral